This 1177-nucleotide ribosomal RNA is filed under the name Lulworthia cf. purpurea. RNAcentral describes it as "SSU rRNA". It matches the Rfam family "Eukaryotic small subunit ribosomal RNA", at positions 63 to 1254 of the family's 1831-position model. Lineage: Eukaryota; Fungi; Ascomycota; Sordariomycetes; Lulworthiales; Lulworthiaceae. The record is from RNAcentral.
GUAUAAGCAAUUAUACCGCGAAACUGCGAAUGGCUCAUUAAAUCAGUUAUCGUUUAUUUGAUAGUUCCCUACUACUUGGAUAACCGUGGUAAUUCUAGAGCUAAUACAUGCAAAAAACCGCGACUUCGGAAGCGGUGUAUUUAUUAGAUUAAAGACCAAUGCCCUUCGGGGCUGACUGGUGAUUCAUGAUAACUUCUCGAAUCGCACGGCCUUGCGCCGGCGAUGGUUCAUUCAAAUUUCUGCCCUAUCAACUUUCGACUUUAGCGUAGUGGGCUAAAGUGGUUACAACGGGUAACGGAGGGUUAGGGCUCGACCCCGGAGAAGGAGCCUGAGAGACGGCUACUACAUCCAAGGAAGGCAGCAGGCGCGCAAAUUACCCAAUCCCGACACGGGGAGGUAGUGACAAUAAAUACUGAUACAGGGCUCUUUUGGGUCUUGUAAUUGGAAUGAGUACAAUUUAAAUCCCUUAACGAGGAACAAUUGGAGGGCAAGUCUGGUGCCAGCAGCCGCGGUAAUUCCAGCUCCAAUAGCGUAUAUUAAAGUUGUUGUGGUUAAAAAGCUCGUAGUUGAACCUGGGCCUCGCGCAGACCGGUCCGCCUCACCGCGUGCACUGGUCCUGCCGGGGCUUUCACUAGGGGAUUCGCAUGCCCUUCACUGGGCGUGCGCGGAACCUGGACCUUUACUGUGAAAAAAUUAGAGUGUUCAAAGCAGGCCUAUGCUCGAAUACAUUAGCAUGGAAUAAUAGAAUAGGACGUGUGGUUCUAUUUUGUUGGUUAUGGGACCGCCGUAAUGAUUAAUAGGGACAGUCGGGGGCAUCAGUAUUCAAUUGUCAGAGGUGAAAUUCUUGGAUUUAUUGAAGACUAACUACUGCGAAAGCAUUUGCCAAGGAUGUUUUCAUUAAUCAGGAACGAAAGUUAGGGGAUCGAAGACGAUCAGAUACCGUCGUAGUCUUAACCAUAAACUAUGCCGACUAGGGAUCGGGCGAUGUUACUUUUUGACUCGCUCGGCACCUUACGAGAAAUCAAAGUUUGUGGGUUCCUGGGGGAGUAUGGUGGCAACGCUGAAACUUAAAGAAAUUGACGGAAGGGCACCACCAGGGGUGGAGCCUGCGGCUUAUUUGACUCAACCCGGGGAAACUCACCAGGUCCAGACACAAUGAGGAUUGACAGAUUGAGAG